Diachasma alloeum is the source of this 504-nucleotide long non-coding RNA. RefSeq lists it as uncharacterized. The transcript is spliced from 3 exons. NCBI's taxonomy places the organism in Eukaryota, Metazoa, Arthropoda, Insecta, Hymenoptera, Braconidae. The record is from RefSeq and is a predicted model, not a curated record.
CCCUGUGGUCAUCGCCUGUGCAGCCAUUAGUGUCUCUCUAGAACAGUUCUCACUUUUGAUAUUAGGGUUUUGGUCAUUGUUAAGUUCUGGAAUAAAUUUAUCAUUUUCAUCCAGCCACCGAUACUUUCUAGUUAUUCUAUAGAAGUCUUCAAAGUCAAUAUUGGGAAUUUCUCUUACGGGCUAAUUUGAGGACGAAAUUAUCGAUCCUCCCAGGUGGAAAUCGACUAUAGCAACAGGGCUCAUCAAGCCCAGGACCAAGGCUUGGAAAUACUCAAUCAGGGCUGAGAUUAGCCGUGGAUCAGCCCUCUUUCAGCCCCAAAAUGAUAACCUCGUUUCAGGCUUGGAACAUAAGGCUUGAACAAGGCUUGCUGCUAAGGCUUGAUGCAAGCCUUGAAUUACCAAAGUGUAAAGGCUCUAUCGCGCUCCGGUUAGAUAAAUUAUAUUAUUGUUUAUGGAUAUUUGUUUGGUACAUCACUAUUGAUUAGCGUUGUUGCUGAAUGUGGU